Molecule: long non-coding RNA, 1790 nt
Organism: Oreochromis aureus
Lineage: Eukaryota; Metazoa; Chordata; Actinopteri; Cichliformes; Cichlidae
Source: Ensembl
CAAGGAUUCAAAGAUUAGUAUUUUUAGUAUUUCUUUAGUUACGCAAAUAAAGUCAGGGUUUAAGAUAAGAUAAGAUAAGAUAAGAUAACCCUUAUUAGUCUCACACGUGGGAAAUUUGUUUAAAAUAUUUGUUUAAAAUUUAAAAUGCUGAUAUACUGUAUGAAUAGAACUUUAUUGUGCUACUGUUUUAUCUUUUUUUUGUAUUUUUUUUUUUGGGGGGGGGAGUCCUGAACACGUCAAAACACCAGUGUAAUGAUAAUCCACUAUAGCCUGUUCUAUGGAACAGCACUGGUUCAGCUAAUAUUUCUGUCUUUAGUUUCUAUAUUCUGUACAAAGACACCUGAAAGUAGAUUAGGACUGUAAUGCAAAGCCCAUCUUUAGCUAUGUACAUGUUCAUGUCUUUCCCACAGUUCAGAAGAGCAAAUAAAGUCAGGGUUUAAGUUAAGAUAAGAUAAGAUAAGAUAACCUUUAUUAGUCCCACACGUGGGAAAUUUGUUUAAAAUAUUUGUUUAAAAUUUAAAAUGCUGAUAUACUGUGUGAAUACAACUUUAUUGUGCUACUGUUUUAUCUUAUUUUUAUUUUUAUUGGGGACUCCUGAACACUCACCAGUGUAAUGAUAAUGCACUACAGGUGGUUUUAAGGAACGUCAGUGGUUCAGCUAAUAUUUCUGUCUUUAGUUUCUAUAUUCUGUACAAAAACAGAUUUACACUACAGUGCAAAGCCCACACUUGAAAAGCAUUCAUAAACUAUAUAGAUGCAAACAUUUUAAAAAGAUCAUAGAUGGAAAUGGAAAAGAUUUUAUAAAUAGAAAACCAAAUGAUACAUAAGUGAUCAUAAUAUCUGUGCUUUUUUAGUUCUAUGUUUCCCCCCAAAGGCCAAUAUAUCAAAACAAAGCAGAAUGAUUUAAAUGUUCUCAUUAACUUAUUCUUUUAUCCAGUGCUUUAAAGUCUCACUAAAAUGCCUACUGUAUACAGUGUAUUAAGUAGCUUAUUAACGGUUAUAGCAAAAUGAGCUCUGGUGCUACAUAGUAAGAUUGAAACAUUUUUUUUUUCGCCUUAUGGGUGGUGUAAACUUUAUCAUUUAAAUGAAGAUGAACUAUCAGAAACUGCACUGUGUUCCAGUGUAAUUUAUAGAAGGCAGCAGGUGAAAAAGUCUGUGUCCAAGGUGUGAGGGAUCUGUAAUGAUUUUCCCUGCCCAUUACAAGUCCUGGAUGGAGGGCAGGGGGCGCCGAUAAUCUUUUCUGCUACCCGUACAGUCCGCUGCAGUCUGCACCUGUCCUGUUUAGUGGCUGCUCCAUACCAAACUGUGAUGGAGUAACACAGGACAGACUCAAUGACUGCAGUGUAGAACUGGAUCAGCAGCUCUUGUGAAAGACUGUACUUCCCCAGUUGUCUCAGGAAGUACGACGUCUGCUGUGUCUUUUUGAGGAUGGAGGAGAUGUUAGUCUCUCACUUCAGGUCCUGGGAGAUGGUGGUACCCAGGAACUUGAAGAUCUCCACAGUAGACACCGGGCUGUCUGAUAAUGUUGUGCUGACUGGACCAGAGUACUCAGCUCAACUUCCUGUCGAUAUGCAGACUCAUCACCAUCCUGAAUGAGGCCAAUGACGGUGGUGUCAUCUGCAAAAAUCAGGAGUUGCAGCUGAACAGCCGAGUUCUUGGAGGUGCAGUCAUUGGUGUAGAGGGAGAACAAUAGUGGUGAGAGGAUACAGCCUUGAGGGGCACCAAUACUGAGGGACCGUGUUCUGGAGGACAUCUACAAGAAGCAGUGCCUGAGAAGCAGCAGACUGAGG